This 59-nucleotide transfer RNA is filed under the name Sulfurospirillum sp. UBA11407. Its description in RNAcentral is "tRNA-Ser". It matches the Rfam family "tRNA". Rfam says of the family: Transfer RNA (tRNA) molecules are approximately 80 nucleotides in length. Their secondary structure includes four short double-helical elements and three loops (D, anti-codon, and T loops). Lineage: Bacteria; Pseudomonadati; Campylobacterota; Epsilonproteobacteria; Campylobacterales; Sulfurospirillaceae. The record is from RNAcentral.
GCGGGAAUAGCUCAGUGGUAGAGCACAACCUUNNAGUUCGAACCUCGUUUCCCGCUCCA